Molecule: non-coding RNA, 1350 nt
Organism: Cicer arietinum (chickpea)
Lineage: Eukaryota; Viridiplantae; Streptophyta; Magnoliopsida; Fabales; Fabaceae
Source: RefSeq, a predicted model, not a curated record
UCGUUACUUCCUUUUAUUGUUUUCCCGCCAAAACCCAAAACUAUCAUUCAUUACUUCUUUUUUUUCAUUGUCUUAGUGUUCUGCGUUUUUAAUAAUAAAUAAAACUUUAAAUAACUGUAUUAUUUGUUUGAGAUGAAUCACCAGCUUCAGAUUAAGGCAAUGAAAUGAGCUCUAUUAUGAAUUAGAGAUAGAGAAAAAAAGGAGUCGUAUACAGUUUUCAUCGAUUUCGAACACGUCAUCGUAUUCAAUGAUCUUAUUUGAGGUUUGAAUAAUUGAACCUUAUUUACAUAAUGUUUGUAAAAAGUUUGUUGUGGAGGUGAAGCUGGCAUUCGUGAUCGACUAACCCUAACAAGCACAUCAGCAUUGGGUCUUUACAACAUUAAAAUCGUGAAGCGGUAUAUUGGGUUCCCAUUUCAAUUUUUGUUCUCACUUAAUUAAUAUAAGAUUAAUUAAAUUAUAAUUGAAAAUGGUGGCUUUGGAGUUUCAAUUAGCUGUUAAUUUUUUUUUUUUUUGGUUUUAAUCCUCACCAUUCCCAAGGGGAAUGAGACUCUAGUAAUCUAGAAUUAGGAUCGCAGGUAAGUAAAAUUUGGCAAAAAAAUUGUUCCAGUCAAGAUUUAAACUCGGGUUCUCCCUCGUACAAUUCUUCUUUAACUGAAGCUUAUUAACUAAUUGAACUCAAUUGCUUGAUAUCAAUUAGCUAUUAAUUAGUUUCACUAUGUGUGCUUUUAUGAGUGAAUCUUCAAUUUAAAUGUGAAUAUCUGUGUGUGUGUGUUGUUCACCAUGGAACUUACACAUGUUCAGAUUAAGAGAUUUGGCUUCAUCAGAGAUUGGAAUUUGGUAGGCUUGUAUCUGUUAUAGGAGUUGUAACUUGUAACAAUCAAAUGAAGUGGGCACUGCUGCGCCAAGCGAGCAAAUUUACUGAUUGGCAAAGGGUUUGGAUCAGGAGACAUCCAAAGAGAUACUUGCAGGCUCUCUGCCUAGAUCAUUUGAUGUUAUUCUUCGUCAGUUAGAUUGUGAAACAUGCUGGGGCGUGACACAUGAUAUUUCUCUUGCCUCCAAGCCCACUUGAACUGAUCAAAUCAUAGUGAACUUUAAGUGUUCACUUGAAAUGAUCAAUCACAAUCUGUCUCCUUGUAGAGUGAUUUUUACAGGCAUUGUAGUUGUUAUACCUGAUAUAUUUACAUUGGCAUCUCCUGGAGAGAGAUCAGAAUGUCGUUGGGAAGCUUCACAAUGCAAGGGCUAUCUCCUAGAAAGGAAGAUGUGAGGGGCCUUAGGGCUUUGGGAUUUAGAGAUCUCUCAUAUCCUCUAGCUUUUAUUGCAAACUCUGUUUAGAUUUUCGAUGGUAGAAGG